RNAcentral lists this ribosomal RNA (333 nucleotides) under uncultured bacterium. Its description in RNAcentral is "bacterial SSU rRNA". It matches the Rfam family "Bacterial small subunit ribosomal RNA", at positions 568 to 898 of the family's 1533-position model. The record is from RNAcentral.
CGCGUAGGCGGUUUGAUAAGUUGGGUGUGAAAGCCCAGGGCUCAACCCUGGAACUGCACUCAAGACUGUCUUACUUGAAUUCGGUAGAGGUUGGUAGAAUUCCCAGUGUAGAGGUGAAAUUCGUAGAUAUUGGGAAGAAUACCCGUGGCGAAGGCGGCCAACUGGACCGACAUUGACGCUGAGGCGCGAAAGCGUGGGGAGCAAACAGGAUUAGAUACCCUGGUAGUCCACGCCGUAAACGAUGCAUGCUAGACGUUGGAAACCUCAGGUUUCUUGUGUCGCAGCUAACGCACUAAGCAUGCCGCCUGGGGAGUACCGGCCGCGAAGGUUGAA